GAUGAACGCUGGCGGCGUGCCUAAUACAUGCAAGUCGAGCGAACAGAUGAGGAGCUUGCUCCUCUGACGUUAGCGGCGGACGGGUGAGUAACACGUGGAUAACCUACCUAUAAGACUGGGAUAACUUCGGGAAACCGGAGCUAAUACCGGAUAAUAUAUUGAACCGCAUGGUUCAAUAGUGACAGACGGUUUUGCUGUCACUUAUAGAUGGAUCCGCGCCGCAUUAGCUAGUUGGUAAGGUAACGGCUUACCAAGGCAACGAUGCGUAGCCGACCUGAGAGGGUGAUCGGCCACACCUGAACUGUGACACGGUCCAGACUCCUACGGGAGGCAGCAGUAGGGACUCUUCCGCAAUGGGCGAAAGCCUGACGGAGCAACGCCGCGUGAGUGAUGAAGGUCUUCGGAUCGUAAAACUCUGUUAUUAGGGAAAAACAAAUGUGUAAGUAACUAUGCACGUCUUGACGGUACCUAAUCAGAAAGCCACGGCUAACUACGUG
RNAcentral lists this ribosomal RNA (497 nucleotides) under uncultured bacterium. Its description in RNAcentral is "partial 16S ribosomal RNA". It matches the Rfam family "Bacterial small subunit ribosomal RNA", at positions 28 to 507 of the family's 1533-position model. The record is from RNAcentral.